Molecule: long non-coding RNA, 5149 nt
Organism: Medicago truncatula (barrel medic)
Lineage: Eukaryota; Viridiplantae; Streptophyta; Magnoliopsida; Fabales; Fabaceae
Exons: 9
Source: RefSeq, a predicted model, not a curated record
GUGGUACUUUUUUCCUCAAUGGUACUUUUCUAUCUCUAUCUUGAUGUUUAGGUUUUUAAUUGUUGAACAUUUUUACCGUGGAAUUUUCAUAAACCCUGUACAAUUGGUACCUGUUGACGAUUGGUACAUUUUUACCGUGGAAUUUUCAUAAACCCUGUACAAUUGGUAGGUUUUAAUUGUUGAACGUUUUUUUUGUCAAUUUAUGGAUUAUUCUGCUAACUGUGGAAUUGGAUCCGGUGGAGUUCGACGUGGUUGGGAUGCGAAAGAGAUAGAGGAUUUUCUGCUUCUUCGUUUGGAUAUGCCUGGACUUGGUUUCAUGGUUGAUGUUGGUUUUUAUUGUUCAUCAGUGUCAUUAUUUAGUAUAAAUCAGCGAUUGCAAAUUUGUGUGAAAGCAUAUAUAUGUAAGUCAUGCUCAGAAGUACUUUCUCUGCCGAAGUAAUCUCAAUCGCUGUCGCCGUAGAUCCAGUCUUUUUGAUAUCACCACCGACAGGGUUUGUAUGGUGCAACCAAAAGCAGAAAUGGAUCUCCAAUUUCAGUCAACAAAUAUGAGCAAUACUUAAGUGCAGUUGCAUUUGCUGUUACUACUUUUGGAACGGUUGCUUUGAUGAGUGGAUUCUUCCUUAAACCUGUUGCUACACUUGAUGAUUAUCUUGCUAACGCUGUGCCUCUAUUUGGUGGUUUCUUAUCUAUUCUUGGAGUUUCUGAGAUUCGCAUUUCAAGAUUGGUUGUGGGUUGUGGCUGGUGGGCAGAUUUGUAUUGCUUAGAAAUUAGCAGAACUGACAUUGAUGUAGCUCAAAUCUCGAUAUACACCUGACAAUGCAUAUGGAACAUUUAUACACCUGACAAAAGCACAGGAAGGAAAGCUCAUAAAUUGGAGACACGCUCUCUUUUUUCCAUUCGAAGUUUAUACGAUUCUUCUUCAAUGGUAGGAAACAUGUGUACCCGCAAUUUACGAUUCUUCUUCAAUGGUAGGAAACGUGUGUACCCGCAAUUUCUCGCGAUUCGAAGGUGAUGCAGUGAUGUGUUGGUGGUUUCAUUGGUCUCGUUGCUGGUUUCUUUUUCCUUUAGUGGUACUUUUUUCUUCAAUGUGGAAUUAGUAGUACUGGAAUGAUUCAGCAAACUAUGCUUUUCUAUGGAGAAUCUUUUGGCACCGAUGACAAUUUAUUCGUUAGCUAAGCUUGCUCGAAAAACUAUCUCAGAUGAUUAAAUUUUGUGUGUGGAGUGGUGAUAGUGGUCAAAAGAAAAUCUGCACAGUUGCUUGGAGAGAUGUUUGUAAAUCUAGAGAAGAGGGUGGCCUUGCUGUGAAAGAUCCCUCUCUGGUGAAUAAGGCUUUUCUUCUGCAUCUGUGUUGGAAGAUGCUCACCUUACAAGAUCAAUGGGCAGUUAUGGCUAGAAUGCGGUUCAUGAAAAAUGGUAAGCCAAGGUCUUCACAUCUCAAAUCUUCUAUCUGGCUGGGUCUUAGGCCCCUUCUGAAUGACAUUUUUCAACAUGCCACUUGGACUGUUGGUAAUGGAGAGUCCAUUUACUUUUGGACUGAUAGAUGGUUGGCUAUGCUUAUAGUGGAUAUUUGGCAGAUCCCUGUUCACCUUCACAAAGUCUUGACAGUGAAAUUUGCUGAUUUUGUGAUAGAGGACAGUGGCAAAUUCCCGAUUAUUUCCUGCAUAAGGGUGUCUCUUUAGUCCAACAAAUAUAUGGUAUCACUCUGCCUAUUGACUUGCUGAUACUCUCAAAUGGAACAAUUCUAUUGAUGGGAAUUUGACAAAUAAAUUAGCUUUUGAUCAUUUGAAAGGGACUUCUCAGAGAUUUCCGUGGUGCACAGCUAUUUGGAAUAAGUAUACCCCCCUUCCAGAUCUUUUAUUCUUUGGAGAUUUGCUCACAAUAAGUUGUCCACUGAUGAUAAUUUGUGUAAAAGUGGGUGUUGCAUUGUCUCUAUCUGUUGUUUCUGCCACAAUCAAGCGGUAUCUUCUCAUCAUAUUUUCUUAUCUUGCCCUGUUACUAUGGUGUUGUGUGAUUGGCUUAGCUCUGGUACUGGUCAGCAGUUUGAUACGUGGUAGGCUCUAAUCACUAGCUGUCUGAGUAUUAGUAGCUCUCUGUUGCGGAAAGUGAUGCUGUUUGCAGUCCUGCAUACUGUUUGGAUAAUUUGGAUUGAAAGAAACAACAUAACCUUUUAGGACAAACACACAAGCAUAGAUAACAUGAAACACUGUGUUCUGACAGAUAUUCAUCUGAGUUUUUCUCUGAACUUGAUGACGGGAACAUCCUCUAUGGCUAAGUUUAAAGUUACUCAAUUUUUCAACAUCCCUUUCAGGUCUAGCAGGCUCGUUUCUGCCGCUGAGGUACGAUUGCUUCCUCCUGCUGCUGGAAGAAUAAAAGUGAAUAUUGAUGGUUCCUCCUUUGGGCCUGUGCCCAGUAGGGCAAUUGGUGGGGUUUUCCGUUUGAGUCACUUUUGGGUGGAUUUACCCAGAAUACAGGUUGUGCUUCAGCUCAAGAGGCUGAGCUUUGUGCUGCCAUGUUUGCGAUUGAGAAAGCUGCGGAACUAAAUAGGAAAUAGUUGUGGUUAGAGAGUGAUUCUCUGAUUGUGGUUAGGUGUUUUGAUAGCAGAUCUGUGGUCCCUUGAAGAUUGAAGACAAGAUGGCAAAACUGCACGGUUUUGGUUCGGAAGUUAGGUGGUAUUUGUACCCACAUUCACAGGGAAGGCAACCCGGUUGCAGACGCCUUAGCUCAAAAUGGGCAGAGUUUGGCAUUAUCUACUUCUCAAUGGUGGAGUGAACCUCCCUAUUUUCUUCUAUCUCUUUUGUAUCACGGUAGUCUAGGUGUGCCUCAUUAUAGAACAAUCAGAUGAUGUAUUGACUUAGUAAUAGGGUUCUGGCCCCCUCCAGCUUGGUUUUUUGAUAUUUUGCUCUGAUUGAUAAAAAAAAAAAUGAUUGUGAUUUGCCACUGUUCUAUAUGGAUUGCUUCAAUACUUCUCUGUUUUCGUCUUAGAAAGUUAUGAUGUGUUUUAAAGAUGAAACACGCAGCCUUUUAUCUUUGAAACACGCAUCAUUCGGGAAACAUUACGAAUACUUCACUCAUUAUGUAAAAAUUGGAUGAUGCCUGAAAUGUAAUAUUAAUGUGAAUUUUUUUUAUUCAUUAUAUAAUGAUGGAUCCAUUGUGUGCUUUUAUGGAUAAAUCAUGGAUGUUAUUUGUUCCAUGAAUUUUUAAUUUUAAAUUGUUUGCAUGUCUCAUUUGACCCUAAAAGGAACGUUAUGAACACUUUAAUCAUAAUUUAAAGUUUGAUAUUCAUAAUAUAAAGGUUUGUAUUAGUUAUGCUUUAAUGACCUUGAAUUCACUUUUAGACUGUGAAUUGCCACUGUGGAAUAUGAGAUGCCUCAAUGAUCCAAAAAGAUUAUGUAUAUUAUUUGCUCCACGAAUUUACUGUUGUGCUUUUAUGAUCCUGAAUGAUGCUCUCUACUGUGAAUGUGAAUUACCACUCGAAGAUGGAAUGAGUUUAAAUUUUGUAACUAUUUGGAUGCCUUGUAACUCAGAAAGGAAUCAAUUAAUAUUAUUUAUUCCAGAAUUUGAAGUGCGCCUAUUUGUUCUGCAUUGUGACUGUUGCUUUUAGGUCUUUUGGUUGUUUUGCUGUGAUAUUGCUAUCUUUGGAUGACAAAAUUAUGCGUUACGUUAGAAUUAAGGCAUGCUUUUGUUGGUAUCAGAGACUUAAGAUUUGUCUUUAUUUUUCUCUAGAAACAUGUUUUUGUUGGUAUGUAAUGUGUAAUUGAAAUAUUUCAAACUUUGAAACUGAUAAUACUUAUUUUCUCAUAUCUAAAAAGUGUAAUAAAAAUAAAAUCUUUUGAUAAGGCUGGAAAAUAUAGAAAAACAAGUUUUUCAUCAAAACAAAAUCUUCAUGGAAGUGCAUCUUUGUGGGCUUUCUUUCUUUGUGCAUCUUUUUGGAGUGAGUCUUUAAAAUGUGGCUUGGGAUUUUGACCGUCCUCAGAGAGAUCUGAGCACCUUUGAUUGAGAGAAGAUCGUGUUGGAGUCAAAUUGGAAAAUCCUUAACACUAAAACAAGAAGAUUUAUGUAUGCAUUAAACCAGUAGCUUGAGAACCCUUUGAGCUGUUUGGGGAUAAAUUAAGUGUCGAAUCGGACAUAGGUGGUUCUAUUUUGUCAGAAAUUGUGAUGUAUAUCAGUAUGUCUGCAGGUCUUAGAUCAGCAGAAAGUCUGUCCUAUUGUUUACUUGCUGCGCUUGUUCUUUGUUGCGGAUGGACACUUUCUGAUGACUUAAAUGUGAUAUGGAUGUGAAUUUGUAUUCAUGAUGCAAGAGAUGAUAUCUAUAGUGCUUUUACUACCCUUAAUCAAAUUCAACUUGAAUUGCCACUCGGAGAUGAAAUAUGAUCCUAAAUUUUGCGUCUCUCCAGAUGCCUUGGUGACCCGUAAUGAAUCAAUGGAUAUUACUUGUUACAUGAAUUUUGUAAGUGUUGGGGAUGUCUUGAUGACCCUAAACAAAACAUUAAUCAAACUUCACUCAUAAUGUAAAAGCUAUAUACUGCCUUAAAUGCGAUAUUGAAGCGAAAUUUUAUUCAUUAUGUAAGGGAUGGUACUCGUUUCACCAAGACUUUGAAUGCAAUUCUAGUCUGUUCUUAUUGAGCCUACAAGUCGGACUACCAGCAUAGAAUGAGGGGCUUUAUAGUUUUAUUGACUAUCCAUCUAAUGUUAGUCUUGAUGGAUAAAUUAUACUCUCAGCUUUUGGAGCCGAGGUAUAUUUGACAUACCCUGUCGUAGUUGAUGAAGUUCUUCAAAAGCCAUAAGAGAUAAUAGUAAAAACAUUUUAUGGCUAUAUGCUGCAACAAUUUUUAAAAUCUUGCAAUUUGGAGGAAGGGAUGGUUGCACUUUUAUGACCUGAAUGCAAAUUUAGGGUAUGUAAACCGUCGAAGAUUGAUGGACUCUGAACAAGAGCAAUAUAUAUGACUCUGAAUGCAAAAUUAGGGUAUGUAAACCCUUGAAGGUUGAUGGACUAUGAACAAGAGCAAUAUAUAGAUGUAUACUAGUUUUGUUAAAAUGUAUUGACAUAAAUAUGUUUUGGGCCUCAUUUAGUAAAUCAUAUUGAAAUAAAUAACUUUUUUUUUUUAAAAAUGUACUAAUAUAAUAUUAUUUAUGAAACCUAUUUAAUAAA